AUUGAACGCUGGCGGCAGGCCUAACACAUGCAAGUCGAACGAGUGGCGGACGGGUGAGUAAUGUAUGGGAAACUGCCCGAUGGAGGGGGAUAACUACUGGAAACGGUAGCUAAUACCGCAUACCAUCGGAUGUGCCCAGAUGGGAUUAGCUAGUUGGUGGGGUAACGGCUCACCAAGGCGACGAUCCCUAGCUGGUCUGAGAGGAUGACCAGCCACACUGGGACUGAGACACGGCCCAGACUCCUACGGGAGGCAGCAGUGGGGAAUAUUGCACAAUGGGCGCAAGCCUGAUGCAGCCAUGCCGCGUGUAUGAAGAAGGCCUUAGGGUUGUAAAGUACUUUCAGCUGGGAGGCGUUACCCGCAGAAGAAGCACCGGCUAACUCCGUGCCAGCAGCCGCGGUAAUUG
RNAcentral lists this ribosomal RNA (406 nucleotides) under uncultured bacterium. Its description in RNAcentral is "partial 16S ribosomal RNA". It matches the Rfam family "Bacterial small subunit ribosomal RNA", at positions 30 to 527 of the family's 1533-position model. The record is from RNAcentral.